Long non-coding RNA from Ziziphus jujuba (common jujube), 776 nucleotides. RefSeq lists it as uncharacterized. The transcript is spliced from 3 exons. NCBI's taxonomy places the organism in Eukaryota, Viridiplantae, Streptophyta, Magnoliopsida, Rosales, Rhamnaceae. The record is from RefSeq and is a predicted model, not a curated record.
CAUUGAAUGCACAAUCAGUUGCAUGCUACUAGAACCGAGAAGUGUAAGAGUGAAUUUAUAUGGAAAGCAAAACUUUGUGCUGGUGGAGCUGCUAAGAAGAGUAAGCCUGAUGGAAUUUAUAUAGACAAACAUGGCAAAGUGAGAAGCUUUAAUGCGAAGAAAACUGUCUAGGAAAAAAUGUGGUUCUUUAAGGGGAUGAGUAUGGACAUAUGGUUCUGGGUUUAUAGAUGGAAUUUUCCCAGUGAUGAUUCCCUCUGCUCAGCAGCUUCUGGACAUUCUGCAGAAGGAAGUGGAUCAAAACAGAAUUACCACCAAUUAUGCUCCUCAUUGUAGAUUGCAUAUGCUAAUUGGAUGCAUUUUAUUAUGCAUUAAUUUUUUAUUAUUAGGCUCUUAAUAGUCCAAUACCAACGUAUAGCUAAGAAGUUAGUAUAAAUAUAUAAAUGCAUAUACAGAUUGCAGAUAAAGGGUGGAACUAGAGGGGCUUCAGUGAUCACCUAAGGCACAUAGCAGUGGGUGAUGGUUAAGGUGGCGUUCUUGUCAAGAAUCUCUACUUGUCAUGAGGCCCCUUUCAGCGAAAUCUCAUGCAAUGCAUCUCUGAUUCUGCAGGCAUUGACUUACCAUUCUAUACCGCUGACUCUGUAUGCCUGGUAUGACUGCUUAUGUUGGAUUCUACUAAGUUUGUAAUCCUAAGAGAGGAGAAAAUGUUUUCGUAUCAGCUGCAUCAAGUGCAGUAGGCCUGCCCGUUGGCCAAUUUGCUAAAUUGUCUGGUUGUUAUG